UGGCAAACCUAUGACACGCGUGUCAGAGGUGACACGUGAACUCAUUUUUUUGGUUGAUUUUUCUUUGUUAAAUGGCAUUUAAAUAUAUAAAAUAUCAAAAAUAUAAGUCUUUGUUUUACUAUGGUUGCAAAUAUCAAAAAAUUUCUAUAUGUGACACUGCACCAGAGUUAAGUUAGGGUUUUUCAAAAUGCUGACACGCCGAGCUCAAAAGGUUCGCCAUCACUGCCCAGCCGGUUGGCUCAGUGGGUAGAAUGCUGGCUGCGGAAUGAAGAGUCUCAGGGGGAUUCUGAUCAGAAAGGGCAGCAGGCUCAACCCCCGGCCCGGUCCAGCAUGUAGAGGAGGAGGCAACCAAUGGUGACACCAGCAUGUUUCUCUCUCCCCUUCCCCUUCCAUUUGUUGUAAAAAUCAAUGUCCCCAUAUAUGUUAGUUACUCUUUCACAAUUGCCUCUCUUUGUUCAACCUAAUUUACAAUCAUGUAGGUGCUGCCACUCACUUGGUUCUUCAUUUUCUGAGGGCGCCUGUGUCAGGUGAACUGGGCUAAAUCAAUGUGGAUGCUUUUAUACUGUGAAACCGGACCUGCCAAUGUUCUUCUUCGGCCGCAGACCAACAGGCAGAAGAGUUUCCCUCUGCACACACCGCCAGCGCCCGCGCUACUACAACUGCUGCAGAGUGUCGGGCGCAGAGGGUCUAGCAGCCAAAAGGGCAGAAACGGAAAUAGGUGUUGCCUUCGUUCUCUAAAGAAGGGAGGAGCACUCGGUUUCUUAGGAAAUCCAGGGUGAACGCUGCUCUCCUUUAUGCCGAGAGCUGCAGACAGACCCCCAUCUACACCGGGCACCCGCCCCGGAGCAGAUCGGCCGGAUGGGGGAACACUCAGCCCCUGGGCCAGGCCGGCCGUGGUUCUUUGACUCAGACCAUUUUCUUAAUAGCAGCACUGGAGUGUCGCUGGCUCCCCGUUACACACAUUCUCAUCCGGGUCUCACAGAAACCUAACAGGCGGGCAUACCGCACCCUCUUUACAACCUGGGGAAAUAGACACAGAGACGGGGUGUGGCUUAGACCGGAAUGGAGCCGCGACUCAGCUCUGGCACCACCACCAGGGGCUGCCUCGCCCUCUGCGGGCCGCGCACCUCUGCCUCCCAAACGCCCGGCCCGGCCCGGCCCUGAUCGCGCACGGACUCUUAUAACAGAUCCACGCCGGGACCAGGGCCCGCCAAGGCGAGGAAUUUAAAACUCCCCCCUAGCUGCGACUGUCUUCCGGCUGGUCGCCAGGCCUAAGUAGAGCGAACGUAUCUGCUUCAAGUAUCAGAGUGACGUAGGUGACCAGAGGCGGGGAUAUGUAGAUGAGCACAGUGCGGUGACUGCUGGUUCGAGUAUUAAGGGAGCAAAAUUUCCUUUGGAUAUCCAAAAGAACGUAUCUUAGUCUCUGUCAUAUAAAUAACACUGCAACUUAGAGUCGAAGGGCAAAAGAACGCUCAAUAUAAUUAACCAUGACCUUAAAGUGUGUUGAGGAUGAUGGUGACGUGCCAGGCAGGGCCCUAACCUCAUACUUACCUGGCAGGGGAGAUACCAUGAUCACGAAGGUGGUUUCCCCAGGGCGAGGCUUACCCAUUGCACUCCGGGUAUGCUGACCCCUGCGAUUUCCCCAAAUGUGGGAAACUCGACUGCAUAAUUUGUGGUAGUGGGGGACUGCGUUCGCGCU
Myotis daubentonii (Daubenton's bat) is the source of this 1699-nucleotide long non-coding RNA. RefSeq lists it as uncharacterized. The record is from RefSeq and is a predicted model, not a curated record. Lineage: Eukaryota; Metazoa; Chordata; Mammalia; Chiroptera; Vespertilionidae. The transcript is spliced from 2 exons.